This 466-nucleotide ribosomal RNA is filed under the name uncultured bacterium. RNAcentral's name for it is "partial 16S ribosomal RNA". It matches the Rfam family "Bacterial small subunit ribosomal RNA", at positions 29 to 507 of the family's 1533-position model. The record is from RNAcentral.
ACGAACGCUGGCGGCGUGCUUCACACAUGCAAGUCGAACGGAAAGGCCCUGCUUUUGUGGGGUGCUCGAGUGGCGAACGGGUGAGUAACACGUGAGUAACCUGCCCUUGACUUUGGGAUAACUUCAGGAAACUGGGGCUAAUACCGGAUAGGAGCUCCUGCUGCAUGGUGGGGGUUGGAAAGUUUCGGCGGUUGGGGAUGGACUCGCGGCUUAUCAGCUUGUUGGUGGGGUAGUGGCUUACCAAGGCUUUGACGGGUAGCCGGCCUGAGAGGGUGACCGGCCACAUUGGGACUGAGAUACGGCCCAGACUCCUACGGGAGGCAGCAGUGGGAAUAUUGCACAAUGGGCGGAAGCCUGAUGCAGCAACGCCGCGUGCGGGAUGACGGCCUUCGGGUUGUAAACCGCUUUCGCCUGUGACGAAGCGUGAGUGACGGUAAUGGGUAAAGAAGCACCGGCUAACUACGUG